UUCCCUUUCUACCUCUCUUGGACAUGUUUCUUGAGGAAAAAUGUGAAGAAAAAUGAAAAGAAUUGAAAAAGAAAGAAAGGCUACCCUACGGCUGAAAGAGGAUAAAUGAGAGAGGACCGAUACCUAAGAGAGAAAAGUGAAAUCCUCCCAAGAGAUGAAAAGUGAACUCCUUUCCUCCCACUCCAAUGAAGCUUCUCGCUAUUUUGAUGGCCAUUCAACAUAGAGAAGUCUCUAAAAAUAAUCUAACAGUACUUCCACACGGUAACAGCAGAAAUAAACAGUGACUGGGGGGCAAA
This 296-nucleotide long non-coding RNA is filed under the name Elaeis guineensis (African oil palm). Its description in RNAcentral is "long non-coding RNA (EGUI_LNC027038)". The record is from RNAcentral. Lineage: Eukaryota; Viridiplantae; Streptophyta; Magnoliopsida; Arecales; Arecaceae.